AGACGUCUACAUUAGAUACCCCCCGUAGUCCCAGCCGUAAACUAUGCGCGUUAGGUGUAUCGGUGACCACGAGUCACCGAGGUGCCGAAGGGAAACCGUGAAACGUGCCGCCUGGGAAGUACGGUCGCAAGGCUGAAACUUAAAGGAAUUGGCGGGGAGCACCACAACAGGUGGAGCCUGCGGUUUAAUUGGACUCAACGCCGGGAAGCUCACCGGAUAGGACAGCAGAAUGAUUGCCGGGCUGAAGACCCUGCAUGACUAGCUG
Molecule: ribosomal RNA, 265 nt
Filed under: uncultured archaeon
Lineage: Archaea
Description: partial 16S ribosomal RNA
Rfam family: Archaeal small subunit ribosomal RNA
Source: RNAcentral